GAUGAAAACGCAGCGAAAUGCGAUAAGUAAUGUGAAUUGCAGAAUUCAGUGAAUCAUCGAAUCUUUGAACGCACAUUGCGCCCGCCAGUAUUCUGGCGGGCAUGCCUGUUCGAGCGUCAUUUCAACCAUCAAGCCCCCGGGCCUGUGUUGGGGACCUGCGGCUGCCCGCAGGCCCCGAAAACCAGUGGCGGGCUCGCUGUCACCCCGAGCGUAGUAGCUAACACCUCGCCCAGGGAGUGCCGCGGGUCCCGGCCGUAAAACCUAACACCUAAGGUUGACCUCGGAUCAGGUAGGAAGACCCGCUGAACUUAAGCAUAUCAAUAAGCGGAGGA
RNAcentral lists this unclassified non-coding RNA (332 nucleotides) under soil metagenome. Its description in RNAcentral is "partial contains 5.8S ribosomal RNA, internal transcribed spacer 2, and large subunit ribosomal RNA". The stretch from base 1 to 119 matches the Rfam family "5.8S ribosomal RNA", at positions 35 to 154 of the family's 154-position model. The record is from RNAcentral.